AAAAGUCUUCUAACAAAGGGGGAAAGUAAUCUGCCCUCAGGCACAGCAUCUUAUCUGCUUUUCUUGUAGGAGCAGAAACAAGUCUUCCCUCCCUGAGGGAGACAUUCCAGUCUCAAAAACGCUUUGAGGGCAGUGACAGAGGUGAGCCGUGCCCUGUAUGCAAAAUUUCAUCUCGCAUAAACUUCGGAGAUAAAGAGGGAGAGAUACACUUCAAAUGUUCCAGGCACUACACUUCAAGAAUAAUUUGUCUCUGUUGGAAAGUGUCCAGAGAAGAACCAGCAGGAAUGAUGAGAGGUUUGAAACUAUACCUGCAAUGGAAAAAUGAGACAAACUGGAACUUCUUACCCUAAACAACAGAAAACUGAGAAGAGAGAUGAUAACAAGCAUGAAAAAAAAAAGUCAUUAUUGAAGAAUUAAAUUCUUUUCUACAGGAGAAGAAGCAAUGGACUUUAAUGACACUAAUGAAGACUCAGUAUACGCAUAGGAAAAACAUAAGGAUAGAUAAUUAAUAGGGAUAGAUUGUUGUGGAGGAUGGUAUAUGGAGGCUUUAAGGUUAGAGAAAUGUUAGUCAGGAAUAUUUUAGGCAUAACUGAUCCUGUAUAAGGCCAAUGGCUUCUUGAGUUCCUUCUAUAUGGACAUGUUCCAGGCACAGAGCAGAUAAGAAGGAAGAAAGAAGGAACAGUAGAGAACGAAAUAGCCCAACAAAUUACACAGCAGCACAAUCAGGGGAAAGUCUUCUUGGCCCAUUUCCUUCACCCUUAGGGCCAAGGUAAGAUUUGAGCUCAGAGUAGCUACAUAUUUCUGAUAACCCUUGAGAAACUAAAGAGUUAAUGUUUUCACACAGUGUGUAUGUUGGCUUAUUGCUGGGAAGUGGUUUAUAGAGUUGGCUGGUAGAAAAAAAAUGACUGUGAAAACUGUGGAGCCUUCAAGAUCCUUUCUGUGUGCCAUGGCCAAUGCUUGGAUAUUUGCUGUAACUCUUUCACGGAUCAAAAAAGUAUUGUAAUAUUGUAAACCAAUGGUAGAAAUUUUGGUUCAUCUUCCGACUGAAGGCUUGCUUUUAAAAUGUGUAGCCAAGUGCACAGACAGUCCAAGUGCGUACAUGCUGACCGUUCCUAAUCAUGGUUUCAUGUAGAUAUGCCGGUGGCACACAGACAUCAGUUUUGUGCAUGCAGAGCAGCUGUACAACUGCAUGCUGAGUUUCAGGCUGAGCACUAGGC
This 1217-nucleotide long non-coding RNA is filed under the name Manacus vitellinus (golden-collared manakin). RNAcentral describes it as "lncRNA (ENSMVIG00005011802.1)". Lineage: Eukaryota; Metazoa; Chordata; Aves; Passeriformes; Pipridae. The record is from RNAcentral.